GCCCCUUUAUAACCGGGGGGCAUGUGCACGCCUUCUCUUUUCAUCCAUACACACACCUGUGAACUUGUGAGACGGAUUUCGACCCUCUCCGGGGGGGAAAGGUCCGUCUGCUAUACAUAAACUCCUGAAUAAUAAAUUAGAAUGUAAUCGAUGUAACGCAUCUUUAAACUAAGUUUCAACAACGGAUCUCUUGGCUCUCGCAUCGAUGAAGAACGCAGCGAAAUGCGAUAAGUAAUGUGAAUUGCAGAAUUCAGUGAAUCAUCGAAUCUUUGAACGCACCUUGCGCUCCUUGGUAUUCCUCGGAGCAUGCCUGUUUGAGUAUCAUGAAAUCUUCAAAAUAAAUCUUUUGUUCACUCGAUUGAUUUUAUUUUGGACUUGGAGGCUUGCAGAUUCACGUCUGCUCCUCUUAAAUUUAUUAGCUGGAUCUCGGUGAGCUCGGUUCCACUCGGCGUGAUAAGUAUCACUCGCUGAGGACACUGUAAAAGGUGGCCGGGAUUGCGGAUGAACCGCUUCUAAUAGUCCAUUGACUUGGACAAUAAAUACUUUAUGAUCUGAUCUCAAAUCAGGUAGGACUACCCGCUGAACUUAAGCAUAUCAAUAAGCGGAGGAAAAGAAACUAACAAGGAUUCC
Molecule: ribosomal RNA, 630 nt
Filed under: uncultured Ceratobasidiaceae
Lineage: Eukaryota; Fungi; Basidiomycota; Agaricomycetes; Cantharellales; Ceratobasidiaceae
Description: eukaryotic LSU rRNA
Rfam family: 5.8S ribosomal RNA (bases 171-324)
Source: RNAcentral